CUCAAACCAUUAAAUGUCCUGGUGGAUAUUGAAGGUCGCAUGAGAUUAGCAGACUUUGGACUAAGUCGUGUCCUAAAUGAAAACGAAAGCACAGUUCAUACAGAUCCCAAAGGAACUUUAGGCUGGAUGCCCUCUGAAGUAAUCGAAGCAAUGAAUACGAAAGAAAUAGGACGUUAUAAAAAGAAAUCUGAUAUCCAUGUUGCAGGAAUGAUUGCUUUCUUCAUUUUAACCAAAGGUGAACAUCCCUUUGGUGAUUGUUUGCAUGAUCGUAUGGCAAAUAUUUUGAAUGGAAAUCCAGUCAACUUGGCCAAUCUUGAAGAUCUUGAGGCUAGACAGUUUAUUUCAUGGUUGAUCUCUCAUAAGAUUGAUGAUAGACCUUAUGCCGAUGAAGCAUCGAUUCAUCCCUUUUUGGAUCAAGUAGAAAUUUAUGAAGAGUUUCAUAAGCCAAUAAUCUCUUGCACUGGUCGAUGACAUUCCAAUGUAAAAACGUUCAACGUUUUGCGAUUUCAAUAUUAAAGACACAGCAUAUAUAUAUAUCAUCCCCUUGGUGCAGAGGAAUAAUAAAAUAGAAAAGUCCAACAACUGAUGGCACUUGCCUUAACUAACCGCGAUAUAAAAUGUUAGCAAAUGG
This is a non-coding RNA of Paramuricea clavata, 631 nucleotides long. The record is from the annotation of a GenBank genome assembly. Lineage: Eukaryota; Metazoa; Cnidaria; Anthozoa; Malacalcyonacea; Plexauridae.